GACGAACGCUGGCGGCGUGCUUAACACAUGCAAGUCGAACGGAAAGGCCCUGCUUUUGUGGGGUGCUCGAGUGGCGAACGGGUGAGUAACACGUGAGUAACCUGCCCUUGACUUUGGGAUAACUUCAGGAAACUGGGGCUAAUACCGGAUAGGAGCUCCUGCUGCAUGGUGGGGGUUGGAAAGUUUCGGCGGUUGGGGAUGGACUCGCGGCUUAUCAGCUUGUUGGUGGGGUAGUGGCUUACCAAGGCUUUGACGGGUAGCCGGCCUGAGAGGGUGACCGGACACAUUGGGACUGAGAUACGGCCCAGACUCCUACGGGAGGCAGCAGUGGGGAAUAUUGCACAAUGGGCGGAAGCCUGAUGCAGCAACGCCGCGUGCGGGAUGACGGCCGUCGGGUUGUAAACCGCUUUCGCCUGUGACGAAGCGUGAGUGACGGUAAUGGGUAAAGAAGCACCGGCUAACUACGUG
Molecule: ribosomal RNA, 468 nt
Filed under: uncultured bacterium
Lineage: Bacteria
Description: partial 16S ribosomal RNA
Rfam family: Bacterial small subunit ribosomal RNA
Source: RNAcentral